RNAcentral lists this transfer RNA (55 nucleotides) under Plectus aquatilis. RNAcentral describes it as "tRNA-Gly". Lineage: Eukaryota; Metazoa; Nematoda; Chromadorea; Plectida; Plectidae. The record is from RNAcentral.
UCCUGUCUAAUGUAUAAAGCAUGGUUGACUUCCACUCAGCUCGUUAGAACAUGUA